Long non-coding RNA from Xenopus laevis (African clawed frog), 382 nucleotides. RefSeq lists it as uncharacterized. The transcript is spliced from 3 exons. The record is from RefSeq and is a predicted model, not a curated record. Lineage: Eukaryota; Metazoa; Chordata; Amphibia; Anura; Pipidae.
UCUCUCUGCCUCUGUUCGGUAAAAGUAAGCUGGCGAGUGGCGCUGGCGCUGCGAGAGAGAGAGCGAGGAAGGGGAGGGAGGGCAGGGGAGGACGGAGUCAGCCCAAACGCUUCACUAUAUGCUGCACAGCCUGUGGGGGAGAGACGGCAGCCACAGGAAGGUGCCGGCUGUGACGUCACACGCUGCGCGCCGGAUGUCACCAGCCACCAGGAGAUUCAGUUUGUGGAAAGCAUCGGACUGAACAAGAGGCCUUUCCAUUUGGUCGGCACCUGGAUGGGGGGGAAUGUGGCAGGUGUUUAUGCCGCCCAGCACCCAACUGAUAUCAGCAGCCUCACCCUCAUCUGUCCUGCAGGUUUGAUGUAUCCAACCGAGAGUAAGUUCC